UUUCGCUGUUGAAUCAGGUAAAAUGGCUUAUCCUUUGUUUGGCUACAGAGCAAGGGGAAGACAAUGGGAGUGAGAGAGAAAUUUGAAUUGCAGUUAAAAAAGGCUAAAUUUUUGUAUGGAUUCAAUCGAGUAGACUGGGUUUCGAUCUGUAAUCAAACAGAUAAGUCUUCGAAUCCUCUUAGGCUAAUGGGUCUUCUUGGAUUUCUCUUUUGCAGUAUCAAGUGAAGCAAGAA
This 233-nucleotide unclassified non-coding RNA is filed under the name Hevea brasiliensis (rubber tree). Lineage: Eukaryota; Viridiplantae; Streptophyta; Magnoliopsida; Malpighiales; Euphorbiaceae. The record is from RNAcentral.